RNAcentral lists this unclassified non-coding RNA (224 nucleotides) under uncultured Gammaproteobacteria bacterium. Its description in RNAcentral is "contains 16S-23S intergenic spacer region". The record is from RNAcentral. Lineage: Bacteria; Pseudomonadati; Pseudomonadota; Gammaproteobacteria.
UCCGGUUUGUCACCGGCAGUCCCAUUAGAGUGCUCAACUGAAUGUAGCAACUAAUGACAAGGGUUGCGCUCGUUGCGGGACUUAACCCAACAUCUCACGACACGAGCUGACGACAGCCAUGCAGCACCUGUGUUCCCGUUCCCUUUCGGGCACAGCCGGGUUUCCCCAGCCUCCAGGACAUGUCAAGGGUAGGUAAGGUGGGGAUGACGUUUAGGAACACCAAC